GAGUUUGAUCUUGGCUCAGAUUGAACGCUGGCGGCAUGCCUUACACAUGCAAGUCGAACGGCAGCACGGGAGCUUGCUCCUGGUGGCGAGUGGCGAACGGGUGAGUAAUGCAUCGGAACGUAUCCUGGAGUGGGGGAUAACGUAGCGAAAGUUACGCUAAUACCGCAUAUUCUGUGAGCAGGAAAGCGGGGGACCUUCGGGCCUCGCGCUCUUGGAGCGGCCGAUGUCGGAUUAGCUAGUUGGUGAGGUAAAGGCUCACCAAGGCGACGAUCCGUAGCAGGUCUGAGAGGAUGAUCUGCCACACUGGAACUGAGACACGGUCCAGACUCCUACGGGAGGCAGCAGUGGGAAUUUUGGACAAUGGGGGCAACCCUGAUCCAGCCAUGCCGCGUGAGUGAAG
This 400-nucleotide ribosomal RNA is filed under the name bacterium enrichment culture clone ALO1_GLFRUDD03GS3FE. RNAcentral's name for it is "bacterial SSU rRNA". It matches the Rfam family "Bacterial small subunit ribosomal RNA", at positions 9 to 410 of the family's 1533-position model. RNAcentral also lists the same sequence under 2 other names. The record is from RNAcentral.